UUUAAAUAUAUAUUUGAGCCCAAUUUUGUUUAGUAAAGGAUCUCUUAUAAUUUAUUAGACCAACAAUUUUACUGGUUUUUUUUAAAAAAAUAAAUUCUUAAUAUUUAUAUUUAUAUUAUAAAGUUAUAUUAUUUCUAAAUUUCAAGUAGGCCCUUAUAUUGGUUAUUUGAAUGUUAUCUGACUAGGUGCGGCGCGACUAGAACGUGGACUGUGAUUUUGAAUUACUGAAGUUAAAUUUGCAAGUCAAGUUAAGGUAACUGAUGUUGGAGACGCGUGGAGGGUCGAAUGGGCGCGUCAAGUCUUUUUGAGUCAAAAGAAAUUAUCUUCUUUUGAACUUUGUACAAUAUCAGAUACUUUUGUUUUAGUAAUAACGUUGGAUUUUCAAACUGUUUUUCCAGGUCAUGUUUGACUUUGUACGUUAUAAUAUCGUUGUGUUAUGUAUAUAUUAGGGUUUGAUAUUUUGAAGUUAUCAAAAAUUAUUGAUUAUACGA
Molecule: long non-coding RNA, 491 nt
Organism: Salvia miltiorrhiza (redroot sage)
Lineage: Eukaryota; Viridiplantae; Streptophyta; Magnoliopsida; Lamiales; Lamiaceae
Exons: 2
Source: RefSeq, a predicted model, not a curated record